Molecule: long non-coding RNA, 521 nt
Organism: Hydra vulgaris (swiftwater hydra)
Lineage: Eukaryota; Metazoa; Cnidaria; Hydrozoa; Anthoathecata; Hydridae
Source: RefSeq, a predicted model, not a curated record
GUGUGUGUGUGUGUGUGUGUGUGUGUGUGUGUGUAAAUAAUGUAUAUAUAAAGAUUUAUAUAUACAUAAUUUACAUAUACAUUAGGUUUGAAGCAGAGGCAGUUGUUCCAUCUUGUUCGAAAAAAGAUGGAUGGUUAUUUUGGUCAACUUGUGUUCAUGCAAUGAAAGCUACCUAUAAUAAUUUUUCAAUCAUUGACUCAUGCAACAAACUUAGACUUAAAAGAGUUAAAGUAACUGGAGAUAAAGAAGUAUGUGCACGAUUUAAUUUCACAACUAAAGAGGACUCCAAAGAAGAAUUAAAGUUCUGGUGGAUUAAAGAUCGAGGAAUGAUUUGGUUUUAACUGGUUUGCAUCUUAUGAACGAAGUACAUAAUAUGAUUUAAAUUAAUGAUUUAUAGUUACACCUAUUGAAAUUUUGUAUCUCAAUGAUAUCCUGGCUUAUUGAUACGAUAUCCUGUAAAUCCACUCACACACAUAAAUUUUACUCACACAUGUAAAUUCUGUAAAUUCACUCACACACAU